AGAGUUUGAUCAUGGCUCAGAUUGAACGCUGGCGGCAGGCCUAACACAUGCAAGUCGAGCGGUAACACAGAGAGCUUGCUCUCGGGUGACGAGCGGCGGACGGGUGAGUAAUGUCUGGGAAACUGCCUGAUGGAGGGGGAUAACUACUGGAAACGGUAGCUAAUACCGCAUAACGUCGCAAGACCAAAGUGGGGGACCUUCGGGCCUCAUGCCAUCAGAUGUGCCCAGAUGGGAUUAGCUAGUAGGUGGGGUAACGGCUCACCUAGGCGACGAUCCCUAGCUGGUCUGAGAGGAUGACCAGCCACACUGGAACUGAGACACGGUCCAGACUCCUACGGGAGGCAGCAGUGGGGAAUAUUGCACAAUGGGCGCAAGCCUGAUGCAGCCAUGCCGCGUGUGUGAAGAAGGCCUUCGGGUUGUAAAGCACUUUCAGCGGGGAGGAAGGCGGUGAGGUUAAUAACCUCAUCGAUUGACGUUACCCGCAGAAGAAGCACCGGCUAACUCCGUGCCAGCAGCCGCGGUAAUACGGAGGGUGCAAGCGUUAAUCGGAAUUACUGGGCGUAAAGCGCACGCAGGCGGUCUGUCAAGUCGGAUGUGAAAUCCCCGGGCUCAACCUGGGAACUGCAUUCGAAACUGGCAGGCUAGAGUCUUGUAGAGGGGGGUAGAAUUCCAGGUGUAGCGGUGAAAUGCGUAGAGAUCUGGAGGAAUACCGGUGGCGAAGGCGGCCCCCUGGACAAAGACUGACGCUCAGGUGCGAAAGCGUGGGGAGCAAACAGGAUUAGAUACCCUGGUAGUCCACGCCGUAAACGAUGUCGAUUUGGAGGUUGUGCCCUUGAGGCGUGGCUUCCGGAGCUAACGCGUUAAAUCGACCGCCUGGGGAGUACGGCCGCAAGGUUAAAACUCAAAUGAAUUGACGGGGGCCCGCACAAGCGGUGGAGCAUGUGGUUUAAUUCGAUGCAACGCGAAGAACCUUACCUGGUCUUGACAUCCACAGAACUUUCCAGAGAUGGAUUGGUGCCUUCGGGAACUGUGAGACAGGUGCUGCAUGGCUGUCGUCAGCUCGUGUUGUGAAAUGUUGGGUUAAGUCCCGCAACGAGCGCAACCCUUAUCCUUUGUUGCCAGCGGUUAGGCCGGGAACUCAAAGGAGACUGCCAGUGAUAAACUGGAGGAAGGUGGGGAUGACGUCAAGUCAUCAUGGCCCUUACGACCAGGGCUACACACGUGCUACAAUGGCAUAUACAAAGAGAAGCGACCUCGCGAGAGCAAGCGGACCUCAUAAAGUAUGUCGUAGUCCGGAUUGGAGUCUGCAACUCGACUCCAUGAAGUCGGAAUCGCUAGUAAUCGUAGAUCAGAAUGCUACGGUGAAUACGUUCCCGGGCCUUGUACACACCGCCCGUCACACCAUGGGAGUGGGUUGCAAAAGAAGUAGGUAGCUUAACCUUCGGGAGGGCGCUUACCACUUUGUGAUUCAUGACUGGGGUGAAGUCGUAACAAGGUAACCGUAGGGGAACCUGCGGUUG
RNAcentral lists this ribosomal RNA (1520 nucleotides) under Klebsiella pneumoniae. RNAcentral describes it as "bacterial SSU rRNA". It matches the Rfam family "Bacterial small subunit ribosomal RNA". The record is from RNAcentral. Lineage: Bacteria; Pseudomonadati; Pseudomonadota; Gammaproteobacteria; Enterobacterales; Enterobacteriaceae.